RNAcentral lists this ribosomal RNA (401 nucleotides) under uncultured bacterium. RNAcentral describes it as "bacterial SSU rRNA". It matches the Rfam family "Bacterial small subunit ribosomal RNA", at positions 355 to 772 of the family's 1533-position model. The record is from RNAcentral.
UCGGGAAUUUUGCCCAAUGGACGAAAGUCUGAGGCAGCAACUCCGCGUGAGGGACGAAGGCCUUCGGGUCGUAAACCUCUUUUCUCAGGGAAGAUCCAAGACGGUACCUGAGGAAUAAGCCACGGCUAACUACGUGCCAGCAGCCGCGGUAAUACGUAGGUGGCGAGCGUUGUCCGGAAUUACUGGGCGUAAAGAGCGCGCAGGCGGCUGGUCAAGUCCGAUGUGAAAGCUCCCGGCUCAACUGGGAAAUUGCAUCGGAAACUGAUCGGCUUGAAGGUGGGAGAGGGUAGUGGAAUUCCCGGUGUAGUGGUGAAAUGCGUAGAUAUCGGGAGGAACACCAGUGGCGAAGGCGACUACCUGGCCCACUCUUGACGCUGAGGCGCGAAAGCUAGGGGAGCGAA